Daphnia pulex (common water flea) is the source of this 554-nucleotide long non-coding RNA. RefSeq lists it as uncharacterized. Lineage: Eukaryota; Metazoa; Arthropoda; Branchiopoda; Diplostraca; Daphniidae. The transcript is spliced from 2 exons. The record is from RefSeq and is a predicted model, not a curated record.
CGUUCUCCCAACUCGCCCACCCACUAGCGCCAUCACACAGCCCACUGCGAACUAUACAAUUCCACCCAACCCCACACGCGUUCAACGAAUGAAUAGUUUAAACCCGACUACUAUUUUAUCAUUAUGUGAAUUGUCCUUGAAAAAUGGCGCCCUUGAAAGAACAACAUCAAAAAGUCGUAAAUUACAUUCACAGAUGGCGCGAUGAUAAUCAGCAGCCGAUUUUCCAACAAGUGCAACAAAACAAAACACACAUUUUUCAAAAUAAAAAGAUUGCCAUUUUCUGGGAAUUGGCAAAAUAAAACAUCCGCCAUUCAAAACGUGCCAACUGAAUACCACGUUCCAUAGUUCACUCAUUUUCUUACAAAACACGUGCGCCGACAAUUUAUAGGCCGAAACAAUAAUUCAACACAAAGUAAAUUCUUAUUUUUACCUCCAACAUCCUCCUUCGUUCUUUAGAAACCACCACUUGAGUCGAUUCCGUCAUGGUCACUGUUUACACGUAACGUGGGUUUUUGCGGUCGAUAUUGAACAGAGCACCGCUAUAGAAAGUAACA